This 376-nucleotide transfer-messenger RNA is filed under the name Euryhalocaulis sp. It matches the Rfam family "Alphaproteobacteria transfer-messenger RNA". From Rfam's summary of the family: Bacterial tmRNA, also known as 10Sa RNA or SsrA, is named for its dual tRNA and mRNA-like properties. Its role is to liberate the mRNA from a stalled ribosome. To accomplish this part of the tmRNA is used as a reading frame that ends in a translation stop signal. Lineage: Bacteria; Pseudomonadati; Pseudomonadota; Alphaproteobacteria; Maricaulales; Maricaulaceae. The record is from RNAcentral.
CCACUUCAAAUUAACCUCUAUCGCCCCUAUAUUCAUGCUGUUCGCUUCGGCGGACUAUGGCGAUAAACGCGCACGCAAUAAGCGGUCUGGACCCGGGUGCGAUUCCCGGCGGCUCCACCAAAGACCCUUCGGAGUGAAGAACCCUUUGCCGGAGGGCCUUUGACGGGGCCGAAUUAGGAUCGACAGACGUGUAAAGGUGUUGCUUUUGCCCGGACGGUGCUCCGUUAAAAGCCCGUUUUUGAUAGUUGCGAAUGACAACUAUGCUGAAGAGGUUGCUCUCGCUGCGUAAUGCGGCGCGAGUAUCUCGCAUCUAAGCCCUGAUCUGUUAGCUGGAUCAGGCGGGGCCCGGGGGCGCCUGGCAACAGAAGCCCCCAUU